Molecule: ribosomal RNA, 464 nt
Filed under: uncultured Erysipelothrix sp.
Lineage: Bacteria; Bacillati; Bacillota; Erysipelotrichia; Erysipelotrichales; Erysipelotrichaceae
Description: bacterial SSU rRNA
Rfam family: Bacterial small subunit ribosomal RNA
Source: RNAcentral
ACGGGACCCCGCACAAGCGGUGGAUUAUGUUGUUUAAUUCGACGCAACGCGAAGAACCUUACCAGGCCUUGACAUACUCGGCAAAGCUCUAGAGAUAGAGUGGAGGUUAUCCGGGAUACAGGUGGUGCAUGGUUGUCGUCAGCUCGUGUCGUGAGAUGUUGGGUUAAGUCCCGCAACGAGCGCAACCCUUGUCUUUAGUUACCAUCAUUCAGUUGGGGACUCUAGAGAGACUGCCGGUGAUAAACCGGAGGAAGGUGGGGAUGACGUCAAAUCAUCAUGCCCCUUAUGGCCUGGGCUACAAACGUAAUACAAUGGCGUAUACAAAGGGAUGCGAAAGGGCGACCUGGAGCAAAACUCACAAAGUACGUCUCAGUUCAGAUUGGAGUCUGCAACUCGACUCCAUGAAGGCGGAAUCGCUAGUAAUCGCGGAUCAGCAUGCCGCGGUGAAUACGUUCCCGGGUCUU